Molecule: ribosomal RNA, 405 nt
Filed under: uncultured bacterium
Lineage: Bacteria
Description: partial 16S ribosomal RNA
Rfam family: Bacterial small subunit ribosomal RNA
Source: RNAcentral
AUUGAACGCUGGCGGCAGGCUUAACACAUGCAAGUCGAACGAGUGGCGGACGGGUGAGUAAUGCUUGGGAAUCUGGAUUAUGGAGGGGGAUAACGACGGGAAACUGUCGCUAAUACCGCGUACCAUAGGAUGAGCCCAAGUGGGAUUAGGUAGUUGGUGGGGAAAUGGCCUACCAAGCCGACGAUCGCUAGCUGGUCUGAGAGGAUGAUCAGGCAUACCGGUACUGAGACACGGCCCGGACUCCUAUGGGAGGCAGCAGUGGGGAAUAUUGCGCAAUGGGGGCAACCUGAGGCAGCCAUGCCGCGUGAAUGAAGCAGGCCUUCGGGGUGUAAAGUUCUUUCGGUGACGAGGCGUUAAUCACAGAAGAAGCACCGGCUAACUCCGUGCCAGCAGCCGCGGUAAUUC